AACGAACGCUGGCGGCAGGCCUAACACAUGCAAGUCGAGCGCCCUUUCGGGGGAGCGGCGGACGGGUGAGUAACGCGUGGGAAUAUGCCCUUCUCUACGGAAUAGCCUCGGGAAACUGAGAGUAAUACCGUAUACGCCCUGUGGGGGUAAGAUUUAUCGGGGAAGGAUUAGCCCGCGUUGGAUUAGGUAGUUGGUAGGGUAAUGGCCCACCAAGCCGACGAUCCAUAGCUGGUUUGAGAGGAUGAUCAGCCACACUGGGACUGACACACGGCCCAGACUCCGGAGAAGGGGAGCAAGGGGGAACCAUGAACAAUGGGGGGAUCCCGAAUGCAGCCAGGCCGGGAAGGUGAUGAGGGCCUAAGGAUUAGAAGCAGCUUUAGACUGGGAGGUUAUGACGGGACCCAAAGAAGAAGGCCCGGCUAACUUCGUG
Molecule: ribosomal RNA, 430 nt
Filed under: uncultured bacterium
Lineage: Bacteria
Description: partial 16S ribosomal RNA
Rfam family: Bacterial small subunit ribosomal RNA
Source: RNAcentral